This 107-nucleotide small nuclear RNA is filed under the name Salvator merianae (Argentine black and white tegu). The record is from RNAcentral. Lineage: Eukaryota; Metazoa; Chordata; Lepidosauria; Squamata; Teiidae.
GUGCUCGCUUCAGCAGUACAUAUACUAAAAUUGGAAUGAUACAGAGAAGAUUAGCAUGGCCCCUGUGCAAGGAUGUCAUGUAAAUUCGUGAAGCAUUCCAUAUUUUU